CGCUUGUGGGGCUUUAUGGUGAUGUGGCAGAUGAGGAUUUGGUGGAUCGGGUCGUGAAGGAGCUAUCGGGUUGGUUUGGGGAGUCGGUAGUUGGGUCAUGGGGUUACUUGAGGAUGUACAGGAUCGGGUUUGCCCAACCGAACCAAUGCCCACCCACUAACUUGAAGAAGAACCCGAAAGUGAAACCGGGCUUGUACAUUUGUG
RNAcentral lists this unclassified non-coding RNA (204 nucleotides) under Hevea brasiliensis (rubber tree). The record is from RNAcentral. Lineage: Eukaryota; Viridiplantae; Streptophyta; Magnoliopsida; Malpighiales; Euphorbiaceae.